AUUGAACGCUGUCGGCAGGCUUAACACAUGCAAGUCGAGCGAGCGGCGGCCGGGUGAGUAAUGUCUGGGAAACUGCCUGUUGGAUGGGGAUAACUACUGGAAACGGUAGCUAAUACCGCAUUCCAUCAUUUGUGCCCAUAUGGGAUUGGCUAGUAGGUGGGGUAAUGGCUCACCUAGGCGACGAUCCCUAGCUGGUCUGUGAGGAUGACCGUCAAAACUGGAACAGGGAAACGGUCCAGAGCCCUACGGGAGGCAGCAGUGGGAAGUAUUGCACAAGGGGGGCAAGCCUGCUACAGCCAUGGCGCGUGUGUGUAGAAGGCAUUCGAGUUGUAAAGCACUUUCGGCGGGGAGACGUUACUCACAGAAGAAGCACCGGCUAACUCCGUGCCAGCCGCCGCGGUAAUAC
This 406-nucleotide ribosomal RNA is filed under the name uncultured bacterium. Its description in RNAcentral is "partial 16S ribosomal RNA". It matches the Rfam family "Bacterial small subunit ribosomal RNA", at positions 30 to 526 of the family's 1533-position model. The record is from RNAcentral.